CUCCAUUUCCUUACGAAGUCUCACAGUCUCUUUAGCAAACUCAAUCUUCUUCUUCUCCAUUACCAUUACUCUCUCAGCAAACGCCCUAAUCUCCGCUGCAACGGCUCGCAUUCCUUUCCUCCGCCUCUCACCACCGUCUCCAUCGUUCCUCUUCCUCUUCGAUGAUCUCUCUUUUUGUCCCCAUGACAACAAUCCUCCACCAACUCCAGCAAAUCUGUUAACAGUUCCAGGUCUUCUC
This is a long non-coding RNA of Arabidopsis thaliana (thale cress), 238 nucleotides long. RefSeq annotates it as other RNA. The record is from RefSeq. The transcript has a single exon. NCBI's taxonomy places the organism in Eukaryota, Viridiplantae, Streptophyta, Magnoliopsida, Brassicales, Brassicaceae.